This 460-nucleotide ribosomal RNA is filed under the name uncultured bacterium. RNAcentral describes it as "partial 16S ribosomal RNA". It matches the Rfam family "Bacterial small subunit ribosomal RNA", at positions 338 to 795 of the family's 1533-position model. The record is from RNAcentral.
CCUACGGGAGGCAGCCGUGAGGAAUAUUGGUCAAUGGACGCAAGUCUGAACCAGCCAUGCCGCGUGCAGGCAGACGGCUCUAUGAGUUGUAAACUGCUUUUGUACGAGGGUAAACGCAGAUACGCGUAUCUGUCUGAAAGUAUCGUACGAAUACGGAUCGGCUAACUCCGUGCCAGCAGCCGCGGUAAUACGGAGGAUUCAAGCGUUAUCCGGAUUUAUUGGGUUUAAAGGGUGCGUAGGCGGUCGGAUAAGUUAGAGGUGAAAUCCCGAGGCUCAACUUCGGAAUUGCCUCUGAGACUGUUCGGCUAGAGAGUAGUUGCGGUAGGCGGAAUGUAUGGUGUAGCGGGGAAAUGCUUAGAGAUCAUACAGAACGCCGAUUGCGAAGGCAGCUUACCAAGCUACUUCUGACGUUGAGGCACGAAAGCGUGGGGAGCAAACAGGAUUAGAUACCCGAGUAGUC